Molecule: ribosomal RNA, 277 nt
Filed under: uncultured Eubacterium sp.
Lineage: Bacteria; Bacillati; Bacillota; Clostridia; Eubacteriales; Eubacteriaceae
Description: partial 16S ribosomal RNA
Rfam family: Bacterial small subunit ribosomal RNA
Source: RNAcentral
GCAGCCGCGGUAAUACGGAAGAUGCGAGCGUUAUCCGGAUUUAUUGGGUUUAAAGGGAGCGUAGGCGGCCUUUUAAGUCAGCGGUUAAAUGUCAUGGCCCAACCUUGGCAUGCCGUUGAAACUGGCGGGCUUGAAUACACUCAAGGCAGGUGGAAUUCGUCGUGUAGCGGUGAAAUGCUUAGAUAUGACGAGGAACUCCGAUAGCGAAGGCAGCCUGCUGGGGUGCGAUUGACGCUGAGGCUCGAAAGCGCGGGUAUCAAACAGGAUUAGAUACCCC